Molecule: ribosomal RNA, 116 nt
Filed under: Mastacembelus armatus (zig-zag eel)
Lineage: Eukaryota; Metazoa; Chordata; Actinopteri; Synbranchiformes; Mastacembelidae
Source: RNAcentral
AAUGGCUGCCAUACCAUCCUGUGAGCAUCCGACCCCAUCCAAUCUCGGAAACUAAGGAGGGUCGGGUCUGGCCUAGUACUUGGAAGACUGCCUGGGAAUACCAGGUGCUGUAGGCU